RNAcentral lists this ribosomal RNA (638 nucleotides) under uncultured bacterium. RNAcentral's name for it is "bacterial SSU rRNA". It matches the Rfam family "Bacterial small subunit ribosomal RNA", at positions 232 to 885 of the family's 1533-position model. RNAcentral also lists the same sequence under 1 other name. The record is from RNAcentral.
CGCGGCCUAUCAGCUUGUUGGUGAGGUAACGGCUCACCAAGGCAUCGACGGGUAGCUGGUUUGAGAGAACGAUCAGCCACACUGGAACUGAGACACGGUCCAGACUCCUACGGGAGGCAGCAGUGGGGAAUCUUGCACAAUGGGCGAAAGCCUGAUGCAGCGACGCCGCGUGGGGGAUGAAGGCCCUAGGGUCGUAAACCCCUUUCAGUAGGGACGAAAAUGACGGUACCUACAGAAGAAGGUCCGGCCAACUACGUGCCAGCAGCCGCGGUAAGACGUAGGGACCGAGCGUUGUCCGGAUUUAUUGGGCGUAAAGGGCUCGUAGGCGGUUACGUAAGUCGGAUGUGAAAACUCCAGGCUCAACUUGGAGACGCCAUCCGAUACUGCGUUGACUUGAGUCCGGUAGAGGAGUGUGGAAUUCCUAGUGUAGCGGUGAAAUGCGCAGAUAUUAGGAGGAACACCUAUUGCGAAGGCAGCACUCUGGGCCGGUACUGACGCUGAGGAGCGAAAGCAUGGGUAGCAAACAGGAUUAGAUACCCUGGUAGUCCAUGCCGUAAACGGUGGGCACUAGAUGUGGGGACUUUCAACGGUCUCCGUGUCGUAGCUAACGCAUUAAGUGCCCCGCCUGGGGAGUACGG